GGGCAGCGUGGAUGCAAUCAGUGAGGGCCGGAGUGGGGAGGCUGGGCCUUGAGUCUCAGCCCAGCCUUGGGCCCCAGGGUGCAGGGGAGCAGCUGUCCUCUGUGGGCCUCUCCCCUGGGCCUGGCCCCUGAGAGCAGCCCACAGCCCUGAUGGAGAUGAGUCACUGGUUCUAAAAAUAAGACAGGGUCCCAAUCCCUGGAGAAGAGAGACCAGCAGCAGCUGAGUGACAGAGGAAGAAGGGAGAGGACAGUUGGAAGUCCUUAGCCACUUCCUGAGCCAUGUUCCAGGACUGAAGGAUGGGGAGCUGUGCUGGUGGAACUGGGUGGUCAUUUUGACUUUGAGGAAGAACCGGAAGUCACAUGGCCCCGGACCCAGCAUGUAAGAGACACUCACGAGAGAAGACUUGCAGAACUGCUUCAGAAAGUGCCAGGAGCAAUGGGACGAGCAUGUUCAAAGCAAAGGAGGAACAUUUUGAGAGGAAUUAAUGGCAACGUGUCCUUUAAUACAAUAAUAUUUUUAAUUUCAACACUCA
Long non-coding RNA from Cavia porcellus (domestic guinea pig), 532 nucleotides. RefSeq lists it as uncharacterized. Lineage: Eukaryota; Metazoa; Chordata; Mammalia; Rodentia; Caviidae. The transcript has 4 exons. The record is from RefSeq and is a predicted model, not a curated record.